Molecule: ribosomal RNA, 253 nt
Filed under: uncultured bacterium
Lineage: Bacteria
Description: partial 16S ribosomal RNA
Rfam family: Bacterial small subunit ribosomal RNA
Source: RNAcentral
UACGUAGGGUGCGAGCGUUGUCCGGAAUUAUUGGGCGUAAAGAGCUCGUAGGCGGUUUGUCACGUCUGCUGUGAAAUCCCGAGGCUCAACCUCGGGCCUGCAGUGGGUACGGGCAGACUGGAGUGCGGUAGGGGAGAAUGGAAUUCCUGGUGUAGCGGUGGAAUGCGCAGAUAUCAGGAGGAACACCGGUGGCGAAGGCGGUUCUCUGGGCCUGUACUGACGCUGAGGAACGAAAGCGUGGGGAGCGAACAGG